UUGGCAUUUACAAUUGGAGGGUCACGCUCAGUGGAAUUCCUGUCCAGCCUCAAUCUGAUCUUCAUCCCUUACAGGAUGGGAGAAAGGCGGCAACGGUGGGAUGUCCCUGAGGAUCUUGUUCAAGGGAUGAGCCUUUUGUAUUGUGUGAGAAGAUGGCCAAUGCAUGAGGACAGCCCAGAAGUCAGGAAAAGCCCAGAUGAGGCGGCUGGUUGAUCAGGGUGUGCUCUGAUGCUAAGUGUCACAGGUGACCAGUAAUGCUGACCUCUGCAAGGAUAGGUUUCACCUUCCUCCGUCCACCCUGCCCACCCAAGAGGGGCAGCCAUGGCCCAGCUCCCAAGGCAAGCGAGUGGACCCCCAGCCACGGGAGUGACCCAGAAGACAAGCCUGGCACGCUCUGUGGGCACAGAAGAUCGUGGGCACAAAAGAGAGAGAAAUGUUGGCCAAGACUUCGAGCUGCUGCAGCCUGGUGCACCCACCUUCCAGAUGCUCAGUAGUGAGGACAUGCUCCCCUGGGGAGUCCUCUGCUCCCUGCACUCAUCAACGAGGCCACCUACUACAACACGGGCAUCACCUUCCUCCAGACUAAGAGGUGCACAUUCUCUGUGCCCACCCUGCCCAAGCUGGCCCUGCCCCCACCCCGGAACCCUAACCCAGGCCACACCUGUCUGGCCUCAGCCCUCAGGUUCUGAGGCACAAUCUCCAGCCUGGGGUCCCCCUUCCACCCUGCUGUGUAUCAGAUGUUUUGCCACACCCCUGCACCUCCAUGCCUCAGUCUCCCAUUCUAUAAAAUAGAAGAUGCCCAGGGGGUCCGCGGUUUGUGUCUUCCAUCCCGCACGGCCCCUCUCCAUGACCUCAGGGUCUGGGGCAGGUCUGGCCCAGGGUGGUCUUGAACAUACUCUGUGUCCUAGGGCCAGUGGUGGCUGUCUCUGGG
This is a long non-coding RNA of Manis javanica (Malayan pangolin), 931 nucleotides long. RefSeq lists it as uncharacterized. Lineage: Eukaryota; Metazoa; Chordata; Mammalia; Pholidota; Manidae. The record is from RefSeq and is a predicted model, not a curated record.